UCUGAGUGGAAUGUUGUCUGGUUCAAGGUCUCACUUUGCGGUUUUGAGGAUGAUUUGCGCAAAGUUUUUCACUCCUCUCAUCCGCGGGAUCUCGGACCAGGCUUCAUUCCCCUCAGA
This 117-nucleotide microRNA precursor is filed under the name Oryza punctata. Its description in RNAcentral is "pre miRNA mir-166". It matches the Rfam family "mir-166 microRNA precursor family". Rfam says of the family: This family represents the plant microRNA (miRNA) precursor mir-166. Animal miRNAs are transcribed as ~70nt precursors and subsequently processed by the Dicer enzyme to give a ~22nt product. Lineage: Eukaryota; Viridiplantae; Streptophyta; Magnoliopsida; Poales; Poaceae. The record is from Rfam by way of RNAcentral.